UACGGAGGGUGCAAGCAUUAAUCGGAUUUAUUGGGCGUAAAGGGCGCGUAGGCGGGGAUGAAAGUCAGAUGUGAAAUCCCGGGGCUCAACCUCGGAACUGCAUUUGAAACUCCAUUUCUUGAGGGUGGACGGAGAAAACAGAAUUCCACGUGUAGCGGUGAAAUGCGUAGAUAUGUGGAAGAAUACCGGUGGCGAAGGCGGUUUUCUAGUUUACACCUGACGCUGAGGCGCGAAAGCAAGGGGAUCAAACAGG
RNAcentral lists this ribosomal RNA (253 nucleotides) under uncultured Neochlamydia sp. RNAcentral's name for it is "partial 16S ribosomal RNA". It matches the Rfam family "Bacterial small subunit ribosomal RNA", at positions 524 to 776 of the family's 1533-position model. The record is from RNAcentral. Lineage: Bacteria; Pseudomonadati; Chlamydiota; Chlamydiia; Parachlamydiales; Parachlamydiaceae.